CCGGAGGAGUCUGAGCGGAGGGCCAGGGCCGUGGCCGCGGCCGGGCAGCUCGGCAGAGGUGGGGGCCGGAGUGGUUGGAGGCGGCCGGGCGAGGAGGUGAAGGGAUGGUGAGGAGGUUGCUCGCUCACUCAGGAGAUUCUCAUGCAGAUGUCAGGAAGGAUGAUGAUGAUAAUACAGGAGACCUACCGAUGUGGAGAG
Molecule: long non-coding RNA, 198 nt
Organism: Gopherus evgoodei (Goodes thornscrub tortoise)
Lineage: Eukaryota; Metazoa; Chordata; Testudines; Testudinidae
Exons: 3
Source: RefSeq, a predicted model, not a curated record